This 225-nucleotide ribosomal RNA is filed under the name uncultured bacterium. RNAcentral's name for it is "partial 16S ribosomal RNA". It matches the Rfam family "Bacterial small subunit ribosomal RNA", at positions 111 to 334 of the family's 1533-position model. The record is from RNAcentral.
UAACGCGUGAGGAACCUGCCUUGGAGAGGGGGGAAACAGUUGGAAACGACUGCUAAUACCGCAUAAGCCCACAGCUCGGCAUCGAGCAGAGGGAAAAGGAGUGAUCCGCUUUGAGAUGGCCUCGCGUCCGAUUAGCUAGUUGGUGAGGUAAUGGCCCACCAAGGCGACGAUCGGUAGCCGGACUGAGAGGUUGAACGGCCACAUUGGGACUGAGACACGGCCCAG